RNAcentral lists this long non-coding RNA (345 nucleotides) under Linum usitatissimum (flax). RNAcentral's name for it is "long non-coding RNA (LUSI_LNC006532)". Lineage: Eukaryota; Viridiplantae; Streptophyta; Magnoliopsida; Malpighiales; Linaceae. The record is from RNAcentral.
UGCAGCAGAGGUGGGGGUGGUGAGGUGGAGAGAAAGCAUCAUGCUUGUUAUAAAUACUAUGUGGGAGUUGGAGGGAGGAGGAAGAAAGUAAAGACUUCUGUUCUGUGUAGCGUGUUUUAUUUACUUUUUUUGUUUAAUUUUCAUGAGAAUGUGGAAGAAAAGAUGGUGGCGGUGGUGGGAGGGAGAAUCAUGUUUCUUUUUUCGUUCUUUACUUUAUUUAUUUAUUUGGUUGUCUGAUCCUAACGACACAAGGCGAUGCAGAGGAAAUGCAGCAGAGGUGGGGGUGGUGAGGUGGAGAGAAAGCAUCAUGCUUGUUAUAAAUACUAUGUGGGAGUUGGAGGGAGG